UGGGAGCCUGGGUACUUUGCAUGCCAUGCAUCCAUACCACAUCCCAGCCUGCUCUUUGAAGCCAGGAUCUCUGCUGUAUCCUGGCACAUCGUGGAUUACAAUGUUUCAGGCUGCCUGCUGCAGCUCAGCUGUAUGUCUGAUCUUGGUUGGAAAGACCAGUUUGCCUGCUCCUGGAACCUGGAAGCAUAUCAUCAUCUACCAGGUACAUAGGUCAGAAAAAGAUUAAUAUUUGUGGCUUACAGCUGUUGAAAUCAUCCCAGCGUGUGAGCCAUGAGGUAAUAGAGUCAAAGCUCUCUUAGCAGACAAGUGGAUGCUAUUGGAAAGAAAAGAAAGAAAAAAAAGAAAAGAAAAAAAAAAAAAGAAAGCUCAUUAAAUUAAUCUGUCUAAGAAGGAAAAAGAACUUGUGGGAUUGCUGCCUGUGAGAUUAACAGCAAAUCUGAUGAUAAAAGAGGUUGGAAGCAAAGACGGUUUGGUGGAGAGCAUCUCGUUUUCAGUCAACUUAUAUUAGAAAAGCCCUGAAGAAUAGAAUCAUUAAAUUAUUACUCUCUGAAGCAGUGCAGAAGGGCCUUGGAGGAAAUGCUGUCAUGUCAGUAAAGAGUUUAAGAGUCUGCGGAGGUACCAGAGAUGUUCCUUAUUGAUUUGAAGGCUGGGGGCAGAGGGCAGGAGGUUGGAGGAUUUUUUACUUUGACUGGCUAUAACUGUGUUGGAAACUCUCAAGAAAAAAAAAACCUUGCAGAGGAAAAACUCCAGCACUGUCCUACUUUAAAUACAGCUGAGCUGCUUGACACUGGCGAUUUCAGGCUGAUCUCUGCUACGCACUUCACUGCAGUACGUGCUGCCCCAUCCAGAGCUGAUCACCACCAGCCAAGGGGUGUGUGAGGUCCGUUUCCCCAGGGGGCAAUGAUCCCCAAUCAGGAAGGGAUACAGAGCAGUCUGAGGACGUUCCUCAGUGCCACGACUGAGGAGGGUAGCAGGUGUGCCUUGCAAUGGGUGCCUGACAAGGAGAACCUGUUUUUUUAACCUUCAGAUAAAUUCUUCCAUUUGGCCAACGUACCCAGAGGAGGAGAGAACAGUCCUGAUGAAUUUUUCAAUUCAGUCUUGAUUCCUUGGAGAAAGAAAAGAGAAAAACCUGACACUGGGAUGUACGAGGGAUGCGUCACGAACAGCAAGGCUGCUGCACUCAGAAGAUCAGGUCUUCCUGAGCAUUCCAAGCCCCAGGCACCUGGCAGGUAUGUCCCUUUCCACCUCCAUCACUGUGGAACCUAGCACCAGAAGCUCCAGGUUCCCCACAGUGCCUGAUGCACUGCUCACAUGGCUCUGCCUGGCUGCGGCUCUGCAGAGAUCACUGCAGGCAGUCGGGGUCCAUGCCAGGCACUGCUCUCCUGAAGACCUCCAUCUGCCUCCAGACAAGACUGAAUGGCCAUUCCAAGGACCAGGAAUGCCCCUGGGUUGGCACAUGGAGCAAGACAAAGUCCACACGCUGGGAGAAGAGCCAGAAGAAAAGGCGCAUCCGCUAAAAAGUCAUGUAAAGGCAAUCACUGCUUUUCCAUGUAUGGAUUUGCAGAAUGUCACUGCCUGAACUUGGGAAAGGAUUCACAGUGGGAGCAGGGGCCCAGAGGAAGCAGCAUCCCUGAGUUCAGCUGCCAUGGACUACAGAAAGAGGAAAUUCACUCGCAGGGAUAGGAUCAUUGCUUCCUGUCUCUGCGUUUUCCCAGAGCCUUCCACUCAGUACCCUGCUGGAGGCCCUACUUGAACACUUCUGUAUAUUGGCCCCUGCAUGUGGCACCAGACCAACCAUAGGCUCCAACAAGGACAGACAGGAGUGGGGAUGUGCCUAAUUAGGGCAGAAACACCGGGGACCUGGAUGUGCAGACCUGCCUCGACCUCCGCUCAAGCACAGCCAUUCACACACAGGCUGCAUGUUAUUGCUGCUCCAAGAAGAGAGCUAGAUCCACUUAUUUUUUUCAUUAAAAUGCAAAUUAAUUUAAUAAAAAGUAGAAUUGUAAAUUAAUGAAGCACUUAAAAAUUCUCCGUAAUACAAGGCUAAUACUUACUCUGUAGAAUUUCCUCCAGUUAAUAUCACCACUAACUCUCCCGAGUGGGACCAACCUGGCAGCUCCUCCAGUCUCAAUCAGUCUCUUUGAUUGGUGAUGGGAUCGGAGCUCACGUCGCCUUUUUUACUACUUUCCCAUCACUGGGGGCAGUUGGGGAGUCCGCCUCCUCUGCAGGAAACCCAUCCCGCCAGGCUCUGCCUGCACUCAGGAGCAGAGAUGCGCUGUCUCCCCUAGGAAGAGUGUUAACGCACCUCUGCAAUUCGCUGCAACCCGAUGUGAAGAGAGCAGGGCUGCUGCCCUGAGCAGAGCUGCCCUCCCACGACGUUCUGCUGCAAUAACAUCACAGCUGCCUCCCGUGUCGGCUUGGGACCUAUUUGAGCCAGAGACUGUGCAUCCACGGUCCAUUUUUUUCCCUAACACGAAGUGCCAGAUUUCAGGCUCGACUCCAACGCCAGGAUGCGCAGCAUGCAAGCUGUGGGGCUCUCUAACAAAGGGCUGCUGGCCACCCCCAUCCCACUGCUGUCACAAUCACAGGCACACCGACUACCAUGCAGAGCUUCCCUGAGAGCAGCGGGACGCUCAGCAGCCCCUCCAUCUCCAGCAUUACCGCCCGUCUGCAGGAUGGGAGCAGGGGAGGAGCCUUGCCUGGCAGGAGGUCAGCUAUGGCUCAGGUGCAAAGCUUGCUUUCUGCACUCUCUCUUUUUAACUAAGGCUUCUAUGAAAACGAUGUAGCACAUUCAAUCUUAAGACACAGUAGAAUGAGUGAAGCAUGCUCAAAAAAAAAAAAAAAAAAAAGAAUAAAAAAAUUGCUGGCUAAAGGAAGCAAGGUAUUUCCACAGCAAGAUCAACCCUUCCUGGCUUACAGGUCCACGUGUGAGCUUACUUUCUUCUUUAUAUAGAAGAUAGAGAGAAAAUGCAAUUCUGAGAACAGUUCAGUUCACCCUAAGGUAAGCAUACAAAGUAGGUCAGGUAUACCACACGGCCAAAUUGCCCUUCCUUCUCUCUCUGCUGCUAUAAAAAGAGCCUGGGCAGGCAGCUUUUAUGCAGACGUUACACUGGCCUGCGUUCAGAGUGAGGGGACACAAAUCCUGCCUCUCUCCACUCUGGAUACGGCCCAAGCCAUCCCACGUGCACCCAUCACAGCUCCCAUAUCGCAGAGCCUCGAGUGACACACGCAGUCCCAGUUCACAUGUGGGCCCUGUGCCAUGUAUGGGCUGAUGUAUGGGAACCCAUGGAACUGCCCUGCACACAACCUGCCCAGCUCUUCUCCCCUGGCCAUGCAGUAGGGACCAUGCAGGCUUCCUGCUGCCGUUAAUCAUUCGCCACACUCAUUUAUUGCCAUGUAUACACCACUGCCAGGAACAUUAUCCCUUAAAUAAAGCUCACCCACCCUAUUAUUGUAAUGUCAGCCCUGAACCUCUCAGAUAAGCCCUGCAGACAAUUUAUAAUUACACAGAAGUAGCUCUUGUACACUGCACCAAGGGGCCAUCAGGAGAGGAUUUAGGUCUUUCACAGAGGCAGCAUUUGACAGGUCUUUUUGCUGUUAUUUCAUCUUGACAGCUCCUUGCCACCCAGCUCCUCCCGUGGCUCCACACUCAUGCUUUGUUGUGUGAUCUCAGGUGAAGAGAGCAUGUAAUGGGCAAUAAUUGUGGGCGAUUACUGUUUACUUGUUAACUUUGCUUGGCAGAGCAGCUGUGAUGGAUGCACGGACUGGAAUAUUCUCUUUAUCCCCUGUAGCACUGAGAGUGAACUGGUGCUUAAUUCAAAGGCUGAAAUCUAUAAAAAAGAAGACGAAACCCAUCAUUAAAUUUCUCUUAGUGGCUAUGUGCAUAAUUCAUCCAAACACCAUCAAAUAUAAAUGGCCUCGUGUCAGGAUGAGCAGUACAGGCACAGCAGAUCCAACCUGCUCCAGGAGACAGAAACUGCGGAGAAGCCUCUCUCACACCCAUUAAUGAGAUCAGCCACCAAAGCACAUCCACGGAUCUUCCUAGGCAGGACACA
Molecule: long non-coding RNA, 4055 nt
Organism: Tympanuchus pallidicinctus (lesser prairie-chicken)
Lineage: Eukaryota; Metazoa; Chordata; Aves; Galliformes; Phasianidae
Exons: 2
Source: RefSeq, a predicted model, not a curated record